This 292-nucleotide ribosomal RNA is filed under the name uncultured bacterium. Its description in RNAcentral is "partial 16S ribosomal RNA". It matches the Rfam family "Bacterial small subunit ribosomal RNA", at positions 505 to 796 of the family's 1533-position model. The record is from RNAcentral.
GUGCCAGCCGCCGCGGUAAGACGUAGGGCGCGAGCGUUGUCCGGAUUUAUUGGGCGUAAAGAGCUCGUAGGCGGCUUGUCGCGUCGAAUGUGAAAUCCCACAGCUCAACUGUGGGCUUGCAUUCGAUACGGGCAGGCUAGAGUUCGGUAGGGGAGACUGGAAUUCCUGGUGUAGCGGUGAAAUGCGCAGAUAUCAGGAGGAACACCGAUGGCGAAGGCAGGUCUCUGGGCCGAUACUGACGCUGAGGAGCGAAAGCGUGGGGAGCGAACAGGAUUAGAUACCCGAGUAGUCC